Molecule: non-coding RNA, 1375 nt
Organism: Delphinapterus leucas (beluga whale)
Lineage: Eukaryota; Metazoa; Chordata; Mammalia; Artiodactyla; Monodontidae
Source: RefSeq, a predicted model, not a curated record
CAGUGGGGACGAUCAGGAGUAAUCUUGCCUGCCAUCUGGAAGAGAAGCCAACAUCCUCCUGUGGUUUUGCUUUCCUAGAAUCACUUCUGCUUCUAGCCUGGAAGUGGACAAGGAUGGAGAGAGAUUGGAGAUGAGCAAAAUGAAAGCAAAGCAAAGUGUUCCAUCUUCAAGAAGGGUCCCCAGAGUUACGCAGCUUCCCAGUUCUGGGUGGAACCCAGAAACUAUUGCCUCUGAGCAGAGGGCUGGAUGAGUCGAUGCAUGUGAAGCCCUUAACAACAGUGUCGGGCACCAGGAUGCCUAACCACUUUACUGGCAAGUUAGGGAAAAGGAAGGCAAGUAGAACCAAGGACAUCUUUUCCUUUUUGAGACAACAAACCUGCCCAGAAAACUGCCAGCGAUCUCCUUCACCGGCCUGAACUGUGUCACAUGGCCAAGUUGCAAGGGAGACCAGGGAAGGCUCCAGAAUGGAGGCCUUUGGACUCAGACUGGAACUACACCACGGGGUCUCCUGGGCUGCCAGGUUAUAGACAGAAAAUUGUGCCACUUCUCAGCCUCCAUAAUGGCUUUCUCUAGACCCGAGAUUCUCAUUUUCGGCACUGUUGACAUUUGGACUGGGUCAUUCUGCGUUGCAGGGGGCCGUCCUGUGCGUUGUGGGGUGUCUACCAGCUUCCUGGGCCUAGACCCCAGAUGCUGGCGGCACCCCCCACAGUCAUGACAGGUAACCUGGGCUCCUAUAGCUGCCACAUGUCCCCUAGAAGGGGGGUGGGGAGGGCGUUUGGAUCGCCUCGGGUUGAGAACCACUGUUUUAGAGCAACCCACCCACAGAAUCCUGUUUGAAGGAGGAAGAGAAGAUUAACUUAGUGUUCAGCCAGCGAUAGUGAAAAUCAUUGGUUACAAAGCAGUUAUUUUAAUCAAUUCAUAAAGUUAGAUCUCAGAAUAUGAGAGAGAGAGCAAGAGAAGGAAUCAAAGGACUCAGACAACGUAAUAGCUGCCCUUCAUUUUACAGGUGGGGACCACAGCAGGAAGUGCAUCCCAGCAUAUACAGCUAGAUGGUGAGCUAAGGCUAGUUAUUGUCAGCUUUUUUUCUUGUUAUUUCAAGUAGUUCAUGGAUUCACUUACCUAUCGUUGUGCCCCUCCUGCUGGGAAGCAUCUCAGAGUAGACGGGGAAACAACGCAUCUCAGGAUCCUUUUCCUUAUGACUGUGAAGUGAUUAAUAUUCACUAAUUUAAUUUUCAGUGGCUAGAAAUGGGCAUGUAGUACAGUAAUACACAUUUUAUGAGAUACUGUUAGAAUAAUAAAAAUGUAUCGUAAUGACGAUAUGGCUAAAGAAGUUUAAAACACGUCUUAAUAAAGAUGUAUCUCUGUUUCACUAGGA